AUGCAUUUUCGAGAAAUCUAAUGCUACAGAGUAUGCCAAUAUUGCGAGGAGUGGAAUCUGAUGCAACAAUGUUUCUAUUAGAUAUAUAUCUGACAUAUGGUCGAACUGAUCCGUAAUCCAAACCAAACAACAAAUAUCAUGACACAUCAAAACAAAAUACAAAAUUCGUCCGAUUAGAGUUGUAUAGAUAAAACCGAUGCCCUUUAAACAAUGUUAUUCAUUAAUGCAUUUACCCUUUAAUAGUAUAAUUUAAAACAAAGGUGUAGCUAUUGUACCACACCUUUUAUGAUUACGGGUUUUUAUUUAGGCAAAGAUUCCCGAAGAAAAAAUAUAAUCAUUGUCAGCAUUUGCCC
RNAcentral lists this long non-coding RNA (353 nucleotides) under Mytilus galloprovincialis (Mediterranean mussel). Lineage: Eukaryota; Metazoa; Mollusca; Bivalvia; Mytilida; Mytilidae. The record is from RNAcentral.